Molecule: ribosomal RNA, 235 nt
Filed under: uncultured Staphylococcus sp.
Lineage: Bacteria; Bacillati; Bacillota; Bacilli; Caryophanales; Staphylococcaceae
Description: partial 16S ribosomal RNA
Rfam family: Bacterial small subunit ribosomal RNA
Source: RNAcentral
GGGUGAGUAACACGUGGAUAACCUACCUAUAAGACUGGGAUAACUUCGGGAAACCGGAGCUAAUACCGGAUAAUAUAUUGAACCGCAUGGUUCAAUAGUGAAAGACGGUUUGCUGUCACUUAUAGAUGGAUCCGCGCCGCAUUAGCUAGUUGGUAAGGUAACGGCUUACCAAGGCAACGAUGCGUAGCCGACAUGAGAGGGUGAUCGGCCACACUGGAACUGAGACACGGUCCAG